CCUACGGGGUGCAGCAGUGAGGAAUAUUGGUCAAUGGCCGGAAGGCUGAACCAGCCAUGCCGCGUGAAGGUCAGUGCCCUAUGGGCGUUAAACUUCUUUUGUGCGGGAGCAAUAAUGGUCACGUGUGGCCAGACGAGAGUACCGUACGAAUAAGCAUCGGCUAACUCCGUGCCAGCAGCCGCGGUAAUACGGGGGAUGCAAGCGUUAUCCGGAUUCAUUGGGUUUAAAGGGUGCGCAGGCGGGCCUUUAAGCCGGCGGUGAAAUCGCGGGGCUCAACCCCGCCGAGCCGUCGGAACUGGGGGCCUUGAGUGCGGCGGAGGCAUGCGGAAUGCGCGGUGUAGCGGUGAAAUGCAUAGAUAUCGCGCAGAACCCCGAUUGCGAAGGCAGCUUACUAAACUGCCACUGACAUUGAUGCUCGAAAGUGUGGGUAUCAAACAGGAUUAGAUACCCCAGUAGUC
This 458-nucleotide ribosomal RNA is filed under the name uncultured bacterium. RNAcentral's name for it is "partial 16S ribosomal RNA". It matches the Rfam family "Bacterial small subunit ribosomal RNA", at positions 338 to 795 of the family's 1533-position model. The record is from RNAcentral.